ACGUAGGGUGCGAGCGUUAAUCGGAAUUACUGGGCGUAAAGCGUGCGCAGGCGGCUUUGUAAGACAGAUGUGAAAUCCCCGGGCUCAACCUGGGAACUGCAUUUGUGACUGCAAGGCUAGAGUGCGUCAGAGGGAGGUGGAAUUCCGCGUGUAGCAGUGAAAUGCGUAGAGAUGCGGAGGAACACCGAUGGCGAAGGCAGCCUCCUGGGAUGACACUGACGCUCAUGCACGAAAGCGUGGGGAGCAAACAG
RNAcentral lists this ribosomal RNA (251 nucleotides) under uncultured prokaryote. Its description in RNAcentral is "partial 16S ribosomal RNA". It matches the Rfam family "Bacterial small subunit ribosomal RNA", at positions 525 to 775 of the family's 1533-position model. The record is from RNAcentral.